Molecule: ribosomal RNA, 310 nt
Filed under: uncultured bacterium
Lineage: Bacteria
Description: bacterial SSU rRNA
Rfam family: Bacterial small subunit ribosomal RNA
Source: RNAcentral
CGCUGGCGGCGUGCCUAACACAUGCAAGUCGAACGGAGAUAAGUUGAAGGCUUGCCGGAUACUUAUCUUAGUGGCGGACGGGCGAGUAACGCGUGAGCAACCUGCCUUGUACUGGGGGAUAACGUCGGGAAACCGGCGCUAAUACCGCAUAACACUACGAAAUCGCAUGGUUUUGUAGUCAAAGCUCCGGCGGUACAAGAUGGGCUCGCGUCCGAUUAGCUAGUUGGUAGGGUAACGGCCUACCAAGGCGACGAUCGGUAGCCGAACUGAGAGGUUGAUCGGCCGCAUUGGGACUGAGACACGGCCCAGA